Molecule: long non-coding RNA, 1426 nt
Filed under: Catharus ustulatus (Swainson's thrush)
Lineage: Eukaryota; Metazoa; Chordata; Aves; Passeriformes; Turdidae
Description: lncRNA (ENSCUSG00005017108.1)
Source: RNAcentral
CCUUACUUUCCAUGAGCAUCAAAGAACACGGAGCAGGCAGGACUCAGCCAGCAGAGCAUCCCUGCCUGUGCCGGGAGCCUUGGACCAGCCGGGGCAGGCUGGUGGGACCUGGACGGCCACGGGAUGGCGUCUCGUGGCUUGCAAAGCACAGCACGGUGUUCGGAGAGCAGCGGUGAUGCUGCCUGAAGGGCUCGGAGCUGCACUGACCCUGCAGCUUCUGCUGCUAGAAGCUUCUCAUGUUUUCUUCCUUUUUACUUGCAAGAUGCAUGCAGGAAGCAUCUUCCUGUUAUUUCUCUGAGUGGGCACACACUGACCCAGACCCUGGAGAACGUACAGUGGCUUCAGCUCUGAAACCUGCAGCCCACAGGGAAUGUCUGCCUGCACGGAGAGCACCCAGCCAUGGAGCCCUGCCCUGGUGCCCUGUCCAGCUAACUUCAUGUGGCAGCCACUGGAAGUGAGUGCUCUGAGGAACUGGCCCAGAGGAAGCGACUCUGCACUCAUGGCUCAUCAGCCCUGGCAGGAAACAGCAGGUCAAAGAAGGAACUUACUUAAAAGCUAAUGAGUGAGUGGUGCAGCAAGCACUGCGAGAAAGCAAGGCUUGACAGUCAGCAGGGGAGCUUGGGGUUCUCUGUCUCUGUCCUUUUUCCACUUCCUCUCUCCUUGAUCACUUCUGUUUAACCAGAGAGGUGCCAAGGUGAUCUGUCAGAGGAGAGUUUGUAGAUGAGACUGUGCCCUCUCCUGUUCUGAGCACAGCUCCCUCUGGAAAAUGGGGCUGGUGCAGAAAACACACUAUUUAAUGUUCCUCAGUAUGUUUUUAUGAAAUAAAAUUAGAUCCUCAUGACUCUAUAUCUCAGCUUGGCAGAUGUUGUCUUUUUUCAGAUGUGUAAGGUCAGUAGUCGCAAAUGUAGCAGUCUAGAACUGCAGGGUUUGAGCCAUUCUGUGCAGAAAUUGGUACAAUUCAGUGGCAGAAACAGGAAUAUAUAUUGCUUCUGCCAGAUGAUAGCAGUGUUUUUUCCCUAGGUAGGCUUUGGGAAGCCCUCCUUGGUGCACUUUCCAAAGGGCACAAGGUCACAUCACAGGCAGACUUACAUUUUGGAGUGUAUUUGUCUCUGUGCCAUGAGUUGGGCCGGGUUUUUUUUACUCCUCCUUUAGUAUUGGAAUUGAAAAUUCAAGUUGGAGAAAUGUGAAAGCAAUUGGGCCUAAUCCAUUCCUGUUGUUACUCCUUUUGUUUUCACUGGAGUUACUCCAAGGCUGAAUUCAGCAUAUGAUGAACAACUUGUUCUCCAAAGCUGGAACUUAGGGGAGAAGGUUUUAGGGAUGAUCACGCAACUCUGGGGCUCCUUCUCAAACAGCUGAAGCUCCCACAAGAGGGACAAUAUUUGGUGAGUUCAGAUUAUUGAAUUUAUUAUAGUGUUCUAGUAAUAAG